GGUGGGCAGUAAAUCAACUCCUGCUAGAGGCACAAGGAGGCUCAUCACCCCACCCUCCAUUGGCUGUAACCGGUUCCACUCAACCCAAUCCGUCGACCUUCCUUCCUACUUAAUUUGCCCCUUUUCCUUCUACUUUCCUAUUCCUCCCAGCAUUUUCUCUUUCACAUGCCCACCCCUCAUCUCCUUCCAGUGCUUCUACCUUAGAUUUUCAUUGAACUCCUUUUCGUCACCUCUCCCUCCACCAACCCAAUUUUCUCAGUUCAUCACUGCCAGUUGCGUUUUCCAUUCCAUCCAUGUCUCCCUGGAUUCCUCCCCCAUCCUCUCUUCUCACAUCCUGCUGGCACAAUCCUCAGAGAACCAGAAAAGGAGGGUAGGUGUUCAGCGACAAGCUCACCUUGAUGUAGGGCAGGCAAUCAGAGUCCAGUAUGUCCGCCCAUCUCAAGCAGAAAUGCAAAAAGACCUCCAACCGUCCUGAGAGCGGACACCAGGCAAAACAACAAGCAGAAGAGCGCGAUGAAAGAGCUAUCAUCUCUGUGUGACAUCAUCAAAGCACUUCACACACUCACUUAAAAUACAGUGACACACAUCAUAGCUGACAUCCAUCUGUUAUGGCUGUGAAUAAAGAAUUACCCGCAACUCAAA
This is a long non-coding RNA of Micropterus dolomieu (smallmouth bass), 642 nucleotides long. RefSeq lists it as uncharacterized. The transcript is spliced from 2 exons. Lineage: Eukaryota; Metazoa; Chordata; Actinopteri; Centrarchiformes; Centrarchidae. The record is from RefSeq and is a predicted model, not a curated record.